AUUCCAGCUCCAAUAGCGUAUAUUAAAGUUGUUGCAGUUAAAAAGCUCGUAGUUGGAUUUCUGGCAGGAGCGACCGGUCACACACUCUGUGUGUGAACUUGUGUUGUCUCUGGCCAUCCUUGGGGAGAUCCUGUUUGGCAUUAAGUUGUCGGGCAGGGGAUACCCAUCGUUUACUGUGAAAAAAUUAGAGUGUUUAAAGCAGGCUUAUGCCGUUGAAUAUAUUAGCAUGGAAUAAUAAGAUAGGACUUCGGAACUAUUUUGUUGGUUUGCGUUACGAAGUAAUGAUUAAUAGGGACAGUUGGGGGUAUUCGUAUUUCGUUGUCAGAGGUGAAAUUCUUGGAUUUCCGAAAGACGAACUACUGCGAAAGCAUUUACCAAGGAUGUUUUCAUCG
Molecule: ribosomal RNA, 392 nt
Filed under: Thalassiosira sp.
Lineage: Eukaryota; Bacillariophyta; Thalassiosirophyceae; Thalassiosirales; Thalassiosiraceae
Description: partial small subunit ribosomal RNA
Rfam family: Eukaryotic small subunit ribosomal RNA
Source: RNAcentral